CACAUUUCUUAGCUUCUCUGAGCCUCCAUUUCAGCAUCUGUAAAAUGUUACUACCUACUUUAUAGGUUUUCUGAUGAGGCUUAAGUGUGGUUGUGUGUGUGACCAUCUUAGCAUAGUGUGUAGCAGUGGUAAGCACUCAGUGCUGUCAGCUGUUUUUACUGCUGUUAUUAUAUUACUGUGUUUUCCCAUGUCAUUAGGUCUGUGAUCCAGGCUUCAGCAGACAAUCCAGGCUGAUGCUUUUGCUGAGUGCACUAAGGGAUGCUGGCCUGGCGGGAUGGUGAACUGGAAGCAGAAAUGUCAUCAUCUCUCUUCCUUCUUGCCAUGCAGGUGUGGAUGUGUGGGGGCCGCAUGGAGGACAUCCCCUGCUCCAGGGUGGGCCAUAUCUACAGGAAGUAUGUGCCCUACAAGGUCCCGGCCGGAGUCAGCCUGGCCCGGGUAAGAACCUUAAGCGGGUGGCCGAAGUGUGGAUGGACGAGUAUGCAGAGUACAUUUACCAGCGCCGGCCUGAAUACCGCCACCUCUCCGCUGGGGAUGUCGCCGUCCAGAAAAAGCUCCGCACCUCCCUUAACUGCAAGAGUUUCAAGUGGUUUAUGACGAAGAUAGCCUGGGACCUGCCCAAAUUCUACCCACCCGUGGAGCCCCCGGCUGCAGCUUGGGGAGAGAUCCGAAAUGUGGGCACAGGGCUGUGCGCAGACACAAAGCACGGGGCCUUGGGCUCCCCGCUAAGGCUAGAGGGCUGCAUCCGGGGCCGCGGGGAGGCUGCCUGGAACAACAUGCAGGUAUUCACCUUCACCUGGAGAGAGGACAUCCGGCCUGGAGACCCCCAGCACACCAAGAAGUUCUGCUUUGAUGCCAUUUCCCACACCAGCCCUGUCACGCUCUACGACUGCCACAGCAUGAAGGGCAACCAGCUGUGGAAAUACCGCAAAGACAAGACCCUGUACCACCCUGUCAGUGGCAGCUGCAUGGACUGCAGUGAAAGUGACCAUAGGAUCUUCAUGAACACCUGCAACCCAUCCUCUCUCACCCAGCAGUGGCUGUUUGAACACACCAACUCAACAGUCUUGGAAAAAUUCAAUAGGAACUGAGCCCUCAUGUCCCCUUGGCAGGCCCCCCAGGGUCUGGCACUCACUGCAGCCUUCCUCUUUCAAGAGAGGCAGGGCCCUGUGGGCACUAGGUGUAAAAGGUGCUGGCCAAAUGGUUCAGGGUGAAGAGGGCUCUUGAUUCAGGGGCUAGGGUCUGCCUGGUCCUUGAGCCCCUGAGUUGUGGGGGUAGGGUGAAGAGCAUAUCCCACAAGAGGCCCCACAGGGAGCAGAGCUUGCUUUAAUCCCUGCUGACAUCACGGAAAAGUAACAGAGCCUUUUCAACUUUGUCACUAUGUCCCCUUGAACAUUAUGUGGGAGAAUACCAAGGUAGCCUAGGCCACCCAAAAGUGAGUCCUGCAAGGUUGCCCAGCCCUCAGAUGGCUCUCCUACAUGAUGGUGCUUUAGAAAGAAAGGUAAAAUUUGCCUGUUUGGGGCAGCUUUUAGUAUCGAUGCCACUCAUCUGCAGCAGAAGAGAAAGAAGUCCUCUUGGGGCUUUUUAGUUUCUGCCGUCCUGGGGGGAACAUUGCAGUUACUGCCCAGCUUCUGUUCUCUGUCACAACCCCAGGUGAUUUGGUCUGGUCAAAGGCCAUACUUGGGGCCCUAAGAGUGUUCAGUACUGAAUGCUGAUCAGCUGCCAGGUGAGGAGUCAGAAGAGGGACCCCCCAGACAUUUCUUUGCAGCUAUGGACAUGCGGAAUAUCUCCCCCUGCUCUCUGGGUGUUUGAAAUGUCAAUUUUAGCACUCUCCAGGCACAAGGACAGCCCAGCCACCAGCUUUACAGGGCAGUGUUUCAGAUGGCCCUGAGCCCACGGAAAAGGCCAAGUAGACCUCCAAACUAGAAAUGCUGGCUGAUUUGCCCUGAUCCAUGCUUCCAUUUCCCUGUCUCUCUUCCCCAGGCAAUUACUGGCCUCAAAAGAGGAACAGAGGUGCUGCGAGAUGCUCACCUCACAGAGUCUGGAGGCCUCCAGGAUCAACUGUGGGCAAAGUGCCUGCCUCUGACCUCAUCAUGGUUCUAGUUCUCAUAUAGAACUCCAGAAUUUUUAAAGAACUCUGUAAUUGGAUUGCAAACUAGGAUGCUACAUAGGAUUCUGGUAUUCUACAUCCAAUAUGGAUUUCUAGAAUGCUGUGAUUAAAGGAGCCAGCCAGGUGUAAUACAGUCAAGGCAGCCCCCAGCCUAGAGACAAUCUGUGAAAUCCAAAGUAGGUAGUGUUGGGGAAGCAGGGGGACAUGUGUCCCUCAGCUCAGCAGAGGCUGUGGUACAACAUGGUCCUCGGUGAAGACCUGCACCCCUGGAACCUCCCACCAUCAUCACAACUGUAGUCUCACUUGCAGUGGAGAAAAGAACCCAAUGUCCCACAGCCAGAUAUACACCCAGCUCCAUGCCAGCCCUUCAUGUUUACCUUUUGCUUUGUUAAUUACAUGUCAGACUCCUAGAGGGCCUCCAGACUAAUAGGAAGCAUUUCUGUAACCAACCUGCCACCCACUGAUUCAGAAGCGGAAAUCACAUUCCACAAUCUAUGGCUUCCACCAGCUAGCCCAGGAAAUACUUGAAAUCAGCAUUCCAAUUAGUGUUGAGUCUCUUGAUUGUGUCAUUUACCAAUUACAUAACUGAGACCUAAGUCUGGGAACAGAGCCACGAAUCUGCCUUUGAGAUGCUGGUGGAUCUCAAGGCCAUCAAUUAUUGGAGGAGGGAGGGACAAACACUCCCAAUCAUCCACCAGUCAGACUGAAUGUGUAGCUGGCGAGGAAUUACUUCCACUUCUGGCCCAGCACAAGCCCUGCUUUGGCCACCUAUCUGCAAGAGAGGCAGCCCCUGUGCUUGCAACGCUUACAUGUUGAUCCCAGUGUCCUUUUCCAAAUGAGUGCUGUAGCUUUAGAAGUGGCCCUCUAUAGAAAGAAGUCAAAAGAUGAGGCCCCUUCUAGAAUCUAGGAUAACAAGACUGUUGGCAGUUUGAGGAGUCGAAUUGAGAUUCAUCAUCAAAGAGCAAUGCAGCAUCAUUAAAAUAAAAACUGUGCCUUUUAAAAAGAAAAAUGCAAAUAUAGAGCAAAUCCCUAAACUUGAA
RNAcentral lists this small RNA (3147 nucleotides) under Pongo abelii (Sumatran orangutan). Its description in RNAcentral is "retained intron". The record is from RNAcentral. Lineage: Eukaryota; Metazoa; Chordata; Mammalia; Primates; Hominidae.